Molecule: small RNA, 664 nt
Filed under: Oryza sativa Japonica Group (Japanese rice)
Lineage: Eukaryota; Viridiplantae; Streptophyta; Magnoliopsida; Poales; Poaceae
Description: Os02g0804000
Source: RNAcentral
GGACUUUGAAUUCAGUUAGCAAUGCCAUGAGACAGGCAGAGAGAGAGAGAGAGAGAGAGAGAGAGAGAGAGAGAGAGAGAUGUGAUGCUAAUUUUCCAUUUCAUGUAAGUUAGCUUUUCAUAAUUAGAUCAAGUUUUCUCUACUUAAUUUGGUGCCCUUUUUGCUUACGUUUUUUUUUCGCUGGGAGGUUUUGCUUACUUAAUUUAAGUGCCUGCUAGUUUCUUUUUGCUAGUCCAGCUAGCCACUGCAUACUUAAAUUUUAUAUCUGCCACUGUCAGCUCCAAUUAUUUGUCGUUUGUUUUUUCAAACAACAGUCUGCAUGCAUUUCGGCAUCAAUAGAGGACCAUCACUGUGUAGCUCGAUCAUUGUAGCUCAUGAAAUUGAUGUCUCUUCCGUAAAGGCGUCUUCACUUUUUUCUCUUACCAUGCAUAUCAUGCAUCAAGGCUAAAAAGGAAUUCAACCUUUUCCAUUUUGCUUUGCUUAGUACUACAGUACCAUGUAGGGCUCCUCGCAUGCAUGACAAGAAAUGCAGCAAGAUUGUGGUGUUGAGUUUGAAUACUCAAUGGGAGCAGUAUAUAGCCGAUCUUGAUGAAUUUAUCAUCACGGAAUGUGUCUAUGUUUUUCUUUUUUGAAAUAAUCAAUGUUAAGUGCAUUCAGAUUUUUC